RNAcentral lists this ribosomal RNA (406 nucleotides) under uncultured bacterium. RNAcentral describes it as "partial 16S ribosomal RNA". It matches the Rfam family "Bacterial small subunit ribosomal RNA", at positions 29 to 526 of the family's 1533-position model. The record is from RNAcentral.
AUUGAACGCUGGCGGCAGGCCUAACACAUGCAAGUCGAACGAGUGGCGGACGGGUGAGUAAUGACUGGGAAACUGCCUGACGGAGGGGGAUAACUACUGGAAAAGGGAGCUAAUAACGCAUACCCUCCGAUGUGCCCAGAUGGGAUUAGCUAGUUGGUGGGUGAACGGCUCACCAAGGCGACGAUCCCUAGCUGGUCUGAGAGGAUGACCAGCCACACUGGAACUGAGACACGGUCCAGACGCGUACGGGAGGCAGCAGUGGGGAAUAUUGCACAAUGGGCGCAAGCCUGAUGCAGCCAUGCCGCGUGUAUGAAGAAGGCCUUCGGGUUGUAAAGUACUUUCAGCGGGGAGGCGUUACCCGCAGAAGAAGCACCGGCUAACUCCGUGCCAGCAGCCGCGGUAAUAC